Salvelinus sp. IW2-2015 is the source of this 390-nucleotide non-coding RNA. The record is from RefSeq and is a predicted model, not a curated record. Lineage: Eukaryota; Metazoa; Chordata; Actinopteri; Salmoniformes; Salmonidae.
GCUCUGGGUUAGUAAUAAACUCAUCUGUUUAUAAAGGGCUACUACUCCUUGACUCAUUCCAAGGCAUAAAGAGUUCCAUGGGUUAUUCAUUGUAUUGUAUCAUCUCCAGGGGUUCCCUAUCUGCGCUCUACGUUGGUAGAGGAGGCUCUGAAAAGGGCUUUAGAACGUACCAAUGCUGCUUACGCCCACACCAAGGAGAGAGUUGAAGACAUCCCUGUCGGAGGGUGCUCUGAGACCCAGCGACCUCCUAGCCCAGUUCAAACAGAUCGGACCCCAGACCAGGAGGCACAUCAGCGCCGCUGAGCUGUGGAAAUACAGUGGAACUGAUCAGAGAGAUGGUCUACACAGUACCAUGGCCCAGUCCAGUCUACCUGACCUGUUGAGUGAGGA